AGCAGCCGCGGUAAUUCCAGCUCCAAUAGCGUAUAUUAAAGUUGCUGCAGUUAAAAGCUCGUAGUUGAAUUUCGGGAUCAAUAUGUUGGUCGUGCCUCGGUACGUACUAGCUUAUUGGUUUCUCCCUUCUGACGAACCAUGAUGUCAUUUAUUUGGUGUUAUGGGAAAUCAGGACUGUUACUUUGAAAAAUUAGAGUGUUUAAAGCAGGCUCACGCUUGAAUACAUUAGCAUGGAAUAAUGAAAUAGGACGUUUGAUUCUAUUUUGUUGGUUUCUAGGAUCGACGUAAUGAUUAAUAGGGAUAGUUGGGGGCAUUAGUAUUCAAUUGUCAGAGGUGAAAUUCUUGGAUUUAUUGAAGACUAACUACUGCGAAAGCAUUUGCCAAGGAUGUUUUCAUUAAUCAAGAACGAAAGUUAGGGAUCGAAGACGAUCAGAUACCGUCGUAGUCCUAACCAUAAACUAUGCCGACUAGGGAUCGGAUGAU
RNAcentral lists this unclassified non-coding RNA (483 nucleotides) under uncultured Paraglomus. RNAcentral describes it as "SSU rRNA". It matches the Rfam family "Eukaryotic small subunit ribosomal RNA", at positions 569 to 1061 of the family's 1831-position model. Lineage: Eukaryota; Fungi; Glomeromycota; Glomeromycetes; Paraglomerales; Paraglomeraceae. The record is from RNAcentral.